GACGAACGCUGGCGGCGUGCUUAACACAUGCAAGUCGAACGGAAAGGCCCUGCUUUUGUGGGGUGCUCGAGUGGCGAACGGGUGAGUAACACGUGAGUAACCUGCCCUUGACUUUGGGAUAACUUCAGGAAACUGGGGCUAAUACCGGCUAGGAGCUCCUGCUGCAUGGUGGGGGUUGGAAAGUUUCGGUGGUUGGGGAUGGACUCGCGGCUUAUCAGCUUGUUGGUGGGGUAGUGGCUUACCAAGGCUUUGACGGGUAGCCGGCCUGAGAGGGUGACCGGCCACAUUGGGACUGAGAUACGGCCCAGACUCCUACGGGAGGCAGCAGUGGGGAAUAUUGCACAAUGGGCGGAAGCCUGAUGCAGCAACGCCGCGUGCGGGAUGACGGCCUUCGGGUUGUAAACCGCUUUCGCCUGUGACGAAGCGUGAGUGACGGUAAUGGGUAAAGAAGCACCGGCUAACUACGUG
Molecule: ribosomal RNA, 468 nt
Filed under: uncultured bacterium
Lineage: Bacteria
Description: partial 16S ribosomal RNA
Rfam family: Bacterial small subunit ribosomal RNA
Source: RNAcentral